UGGUAUAACAUGUAAAUUCCAUCACCCUCAACCUGCUGGUAUGUCUGUGCCAGCACCUGCACGUCCAUUUUAUCCGACGGUGCAGUCUCUUCCUGCUCCUCCUGAGGAAUGUAACAGUGCAUUAACUGGUCUUAGAGUAGCAAGGCCUCCUAUUUUACCUGGUUCAUAUGUACCUAGUGCUUAUGGUCCAGUGUUGCUUCAUCCAGGAGUGGUUACCAUUCAGAACUGGAGUCCUUACUCAGGACCAGUAAGUCCUGCACUAUCUCCUGGUGUUCAUCCCUCUGCUGGGCUGACAUCUGUCUAUGGGAUGUCACAGCUAGCAUCUUCUCCACAUGCCUUUGCAGGGCCUUACUCGCCAUUACCCCCUGCUGCUAGCCCUUCAAGCAAAACACAGAAGGGAAAGAGUUUUCCAGAGAGACCUGGUCAAUCCAUAUGUCA
This 438-nucleotide unclassified non-coding RNA is filed under the name Hevea brasiliensis (rubber tree). Lineage: Eukaryota; Viridiplantae; Streptophyta; Magnoliopsida; Malpighiales; Euphorbiaceae. The record is from RNAcentral.